CCGCCCCCGGCUGUUCCGCCGAGGCUCGCUGGGUCGCUGGCGCCGCCGCGCAGCACGGCUCAGACCGAGGCGCACAGGCUCGCAGCUCCGCGGCGCCUAGCGCUCCGGUCCCCGCCGCGACGCGCCACCGUCCCUGCCGGCGCCUCCGCGCGCUUCGAAAUGAGGGUCCUGGGUGGGCGCUGCGGGGCGCUGCUGGCGUGUCUCCUCCUAGUGCUUCCCGUCUCAGAGGCAAACUUUUUGUCAAAGCAACAGGCUUCACAAGUCCUGGUUAGGAAGCGUCGUGCAAAUUCUUUACUUGAAGAAACCAAACAGGGUAAUCUUGAAAGAGAAUGCAUCGAAGAACUGUGCAAUAAAGAAGAAGCCAGGGAGGUCUUUGAAAAUGACCCGGAAACGGUAAGCAUUUAUGGAAACUAUCAAUUUGUCUUCGCUCUUUUCAAACUGGGUUAUUCACUGCUGCACGUCAGUCAACUAAUGCUUAUCCUGACCUAAGAAGCUGUGUCAAUGCCAUUCCAGACCAGUGUAGUCCUCUGCCAUGCAAUGAAGAUGGAUAUAUGAGCUGCAAAGAUGGAAAAGCUUCUUUUACUUGCACUUGUAAACCAGGUUGGCAAGGAGAAAAGUGUGAAUUUGACAUAAAUGAAUGCAAAGAUCCCUCAAAUAUAAAUGGAGGUUGCAGUCAAAUUUGUGAUAAUACACCUGGAAGUUACCACUGUUCCUGUAAAAAUGGUUUUGUUAUGCUUUCAAAUAAGAAAGAUUGUAAAGAUGUGGAUGAAUGCUCUUUGAAGCCAAGCAUUUGUGGCACAGCUGUGUGCAAGAACAUCCCAGGAGAUUUUGAAUGUGAAUGCCCCGAAGGCUACAGAUAUAAUCUCAAAUCAAAGUCUUGUGAAGAUAUAGAUGAAUGCUCUGAGAACAUGUGUGCUCAGCUUUGUGUCAAUUACCCUGGAGGUUACACUUGCUAUUGUGAUGGGAAGAAAGGAUUCAAACUUGCCCAAGAUCAGAAGAGUUGUGAGGUUGUUUCAGUGUGCCUUCCCUUGAACCUUGACACAAAGUAUGAAUUACUUUACUUGGCGGAGCAGUUUGCAGGGGUUGUUUUAUAUUUAAAAUUUCGUUUGCCAGAAAUCAGCAGAUUUUCAGCAGAAUUUGAUUUCCGGACAUAUGAUUCAGAAGGCGUGAUACUGUACGCAGAAUCUAUCGAUCACUCAGCGUGGCUCCUGAUUGCACUUCGUGGUGGAAAGAUUGAAGUUCAGCUUAAGAAUGAACAUACAUCCAAAAUCACAACUGGAGGUGAUGUUAUUAAUAAUGGUCUAUGGAAUAUGGUGUCUGUGGAAGAAUUAGAACAUAGUAUUAGCAUUAAAAUAGCUAAAGAAGCUGUGAUGGAUAUAAAUAAACCUGGACCCCUUUUUAAGCCGGAAAAUGGAUUGCUGGAAACCAAAGUAUACUUUGCAGGAUUCCCUCGGAAAGUGGAAAGUGAACUCAUUAAACCGAUUAACCCUCGUCUAGAUGGAUGUAUACGAAGCUGGAAUUUGAUGAAGCAAGGAGCUUCUGGAAUAAAGGAAAUUAUUC
This 1560-nucleotide long non-coding RNA is filed under the name Homo sapiens (human). RNAcentral describes it as "long non-coding RNA NONHSAT195962.1". Lineage: Eukaryota; Metazoa; Chordata; Mammalia; Primates; Hominidae. The record is from RNAcentral.